AUAAGCAAUGCUCUCUGUUCCUUUGCAGGGCUUAUGGACCUUCUGAGUGCAGGGGACCAGGUCUUGGCAGAUCGUGGAUUUCUGUUGCAUGAUGAAUUUGCUAUGCGAGACGUGCAGCUCAUCACGCCCACGUUCACUAAAAACAAGAAACAACUGAGUGCUGUGGAAACAACAAAGUCCCGAAGAAUAUCCUCUACACGGAUCAUUGUGGAGCGAUCCAUUGGGCAUCUAAAGAAGUGGCGUAUACUGACUGCCCCCUCACUGUCAGCGAGCAUAACGGCGAGUCGAAACUGAUGUCAAUUACCGCUGGUCCAUCAGGAAGGUCAUCGUUAUCUGACAGAUCAUCACCACUGUCUGAGGCACUGUCCACCUGUGCAAGGAAUGGGGCAAAGUCCGUACGCAGCUGCUGUGUUGCUUCUCGAGGCUUCUUCUUCUGCCCGACCUCUGUCCGUUUAUGGGCGAAUAGCAGUUGAUCUGCUGGUACAGGUUGAACCUAAAAUAAGAUAUGGAAAUUGCAAUGUCUUAGCUAAAAACGCUUCAAGAGGUAAAGGUAAUAAAAUUUCCAUGGCAAAAAACAUUGCAAAGAAUGUCUCCUGCUGCACCUUUUUAAGACAAGGCACAACCCACUUGCAAGGCUGGUCAGUUGGUCCAGUGGAUUCUGUCCUCUCCUUGUGCCACAUUCCUAUUGUGAAGCACAAGGCUGCAGCAUGGCUGCAGCACCUGCCCCACCUGCACACCAUUUAAAAUCAUUCAGUACAGCUCUUCAUUUACUGUAGAGUUAUGUACCUACCCUGCCAUGCAUGUACAGUAUGCACCAAGGAUCUUGCCCUCUCCUGUAGCUGCCAGCCAGCAGGUGUAUGGACUUUCACUUCUUUGUGAUGGGCUCACUUCACCUCUUAUCACA
Molecule: long non-coding RNA, 904 nt
Organism: Ornithodoros turicata
Lineage: Eukaryota; Metazoa; Arthropoda; Arachnida; Ixodida; Argasidae
Exons: 3
Source: RefSeq, a predicted model, not a curated record